GGAAAGGUGGCCGAGUGGUUGAAGGCACUGGUCUUGAAAACCAGAGAGGGUUAUACCUCCGCAGGUUCGAAUCCUGUCCUUUCCGCCA
This 88-nucleotide transfer RNA is filed under the name Candidatus Saccharimonadota bacterium. RNAcentral's name for it is "tRNA-Ser". It matches the Rfam family "tRNA". Rfam says of the family: Transfer RNA (tRNA) molecules are approximately 80 nucleotides in length. Lineage: Bacteria; Candidatus Saccharimonadota. The record is from RNAcentral.